UGGGGAAUAUUGCACAAUGGAGGGAACUCUGAUGCAGCGACGCCGCGUGAACGAAGAAGGCUUUCGAGUCGUAAAGUUCUUUUAUAUGGGAAGAUAAUGACGGUACCAUAAGAAAAAGCCCCGGCUAACUACGGGCCAGCAGCCGCGGUAAUACGUAGGGGGCUAGCGUUGUCCGGAAUCACUGGGCGUAAGGGUUCGCAGGCGGAAAUGCAAGUCAGGUGUAAAAGGCAGUAGCUUAACUACUGUAAGCAUUUGAAACUGCAUAGCUUGAGUAGAGUAGAGGUAAGUGGAAUUUUUAGUGUAGCGGUGAAAUGCGUAGAUAUUAAAAAGAAUACCGGUGGCGAAGGCAACUUACUGGGCUCAUUCUGACGCUGAGGAACGAAAGCGUGGGUAGCAAACAGG
Molecule: ribosomal RNA, 402 nt
Filed under: bacterium
Lineage: Bacteria
Description: partial 16S ribosomal RNA
Rfam family: Bacterial small subunit ribosomal RNA
Source: RNAcentral